This 273-nucleotide long non-coding RNA is filed under the name Lathyrus oleraceus (garden pea). RNAcentral describes it as "Pisum sativum (pea) long non-coding RNA (PSAT_LNC039014)". The record is from RNAcentral. Lineage: Eukaryota; Viridiplantae; Streptophyta; Magnoliopsida; Fabales; Fabaceae.
AAAAAGAAAGAACAAGAGAGAUGUGAAAUUAGAGAAGAAAAGUGCAGUAAAAACGUAAUUGAAAGAGAAAAUAAUAACAUAAAAAUGAGAAGAUGAAAAAGAAAUAACACAAGAGAGAAGAGACUAUUUUAGAAGAGGUGAGACAUACAUGACAAAGAAAUUGAGAAGAAUGCGUGAUACUAUUAGGAGAGAUUUGAGAAGGUUGAAACUGAAACCCUAAGUGUGAGUAAGAGAAUACUUGUAAGGUUAAAGCAUAAUAGGUUUGAGUUUUUG